Molecule: ribosomal RNA, 460 nt
Filed under: uncultured bacterium
Lineage: Bacteria
Description: partial 16S ribosomal RNA
Rfam family: Bacterial small subunit ribosomal RNA
Source: RNAcentral
CCUACGGGAGGCAGCAGUGAGGAAUAUUGGUCAAUGGACGAGAGUCUGAACCAGCCAAGUAGCGUGAAGGAUGACUGCCCUAUGGGUUGUAAACUUCUUUUAUAUGGGAAUAAAACGUUCCACGUGUGGGAUUUUGUAUGUACCAUAUGAAUAAGGAUCGGCUAACUCCGUGCCAGCAGCCGCGGUAAUACGGAGGAUCCGAGCGUUAUCCGGAUUUAUUGGGUUUAAAGGGAGCAUAGGUGGAUUGUUAAGUCAGUUGUGAAAGUUUGCGGCUCAACCGUAAAAUUGCAGUUUAAACUAGCAGUCUUGAGUACAGUAGAGGUGGGUGGAAUUCGUGGUGUAGCGGUGAAAUGCUUAGAUAUCACGAAGAACUCCGAUUGCGAAGGCAGUUCACUGGACUGCAACUGACACUGAGGCUCGAAAGUGUGGGUAUCAAACAGGAUUAGAUACCCUAGUAGUC